AGAGGAUGGCACAGGUGAUGCAAGGAACCUACGACCUGUUUGCAGCGAAGAAGGUGAGGGGGAGCAGCCGCGCAUGUAAUGGCCAGUGGAGGGCGGCCAGGGAAGGCGGCGGCGGUGUUUUCGUGCGGCGAGGUCGCCGUCCAGGAAGGCGAAGGCGAUGAUGUUUCUGAGCGGCAAGGGGAUAUCCGUGGGGUGUGUUUCUUGUUUUUGGAUUUGAAAGGUCUAUUAUUAUUUGUGGUAAUGGGGGAUACGUGUUUGAAUUUGUUUGGAAGACCUACGUGAUUGUAGGGAUUGUUUUUGCUUUCGCAUGGAAGUUUUCCUCCGCGGUGGAGUAUGGUCAGUCAACAUAAAUUAGUAAGUGCACACCAGAAAACAUAUCAGGUGAAGGCUAGCCGUUGGAUUUAGAUAAGUGGGGAUAAUCCUGUGGUAGUAUUGGGUCCGUGUAUGUUUUGUGGGGUGCGUUUAGCAAAGAUAAUGUUUGCUCUUUU
RNAcentral lists this ribosomal RNA (488 nucleotides) under Triticum aestivum (bread wheat). Its description in RNAcentral is "partial small subunit ribosomal RNA". Lineage: Eukaryota; Viridiplantae; Streptophyta; Magnoliopsida; Poales; Poaceae. The record is from RNAcentral.